UUAUUAACUGCUGGGCCCUUCCUC
RNAcentral lists this non-coding RNA (24 nucleotides) under Rattus norvegicus (Norway rat). Lineage: Eukaryota; Metazoa; Chordata; Mammalia; Rodentia; Muridae. The record is from RNAcentral.